CCCCCUUGCUGGGGAUCUUGGGGCCAGAGUAUAUAAAAUUCCUGGGUCACUGUAUGUGCCUGAGCAGCUGCUCUGCUGAGACACCACACAGUUCUGUGUAUUGGACCCAAGGCCCUGGUGGCAUGAACUCAGGAGAUCUCCUGAUCUAUGUAUCCAGUUAAAGCAGGCAAUAGAUGAAAAUAAAAAUGCUCUUCAAAAAUUAAGCAAAGCUGAUGAAUCUGCACCUGUUGCAAACUAUAAUCAGAGAAAAGAAGAGGAGCAUACUCUUUUGGACAAGCUUACCCAACAACUGCAGGGCCUUGCUGUGACAAUAAGCAGAGAAAAUAUAACUGAGUAUGCUUCCUUUCUACCUUUCUUUUUUCUUUUUUAAAGAUAUAUCACCAAUAGCUUUAAUGUUUAACUCAAAGACAUAUAGCAGUAUAGAUAUAAACAAAUGACACUAACAAUAGAAUCAGUCAACAUUUAUUUAUUGUGUAUAAUAGAAGGUGUUAGAUCCCAUGAGAGAUGGAAAGAAGUGUAAGUCAUAGUCUCUGCCCUCAGGCAAUUUAUAAUUUAGUUGAAACAAAACAGAGAUCUGAAAAGCUAAAUGAACAAAUGUUAGAAAAUAAAGAUGAUAUAUUUAAUGUCAAUGUUGAUGUGUAAAAGGGAAAUGAUUUGGAAUGUCU
Molecule: long non-coding RNA, 665 nt
Filed under: Homo sapiens (human)
Lineage: Eukaryota; Metazoa; Chordata; Mammalia; Primates; Hominidae
Description: HSALNT0037615
Source: RNAcentral